Molecule: microRNA precursor, 97 nt
Filed under: Brassica oleracea var. oleracea
Lineage: Eukaryota; Viridiplantae; Streptophyta; Magnoliopsida; Brassicales; Brassicaceae
Description: MIR9563 microRNA precursor family
Rfam family: MIR9563 microRNA precursor family
Source: Rfam by way of RNAcentral
GGUAUAUAAGAACCCGUCUCUUAACUUUUAACUAAAAAGUUAAGAACCGGUUCUUAACUUUUUUAGUUAAAAGUUAAGAGACGGGUUCUUAUAUUCC